Molecule: long non-coding RNA, 329 nt
Organism: Mastomys coucha (southern multimammate mouse)
Lineage: Eukaryota; Metazoa; Chordata; Mammalia; Rodentia; Muridae
Exons: 2
Source: RefSeq, a predicted model, not a curated record
UGAGUUUAAGUCUAUUUUGGCUACAUAAGGAGUGCAAGACCAGCACUGGAAAGAGAUCUUUUAUCAACAAAGUUCCUCGUAUCACCUAAACUUAAAUGAGGCCCCUUUCCCAGGAGGCCCUUGAUUGACAUGAAAGUGAAAGAAAAGAGGAGACCAGAAGAGACUGUGAAGCCAAUGUGACGCAGAAGCUUUAGCCUGCUAGGCUUCACCUCCUUGCCUGGGAGAUCCAGGAAAGAGGCUGGUAUCCCCUCCAAAGACAGGCUAUCAGAACGAGUGAUCAAGAACAUCUGCUUAGGGCUGUUGUCAGCAUAUUAAAAGAUUCAACAAGU